UUAGGGAGACCUAAUCCACUCAGACAUCGAAAACAAAAAGUAAAUAGAUGCUGAGAUGGUCAUUCCUAGGUCGGUAGCCAGUGGAUGCUAAAGCUUUCAAACUAUAGGUUGGGUUCGGAUAUGGGCUAUUAGCUCAGGUGGUUAGAGCGCACCCCUGAUAAGGGUGAGGUCCCUGGUUCGAGUCCAGGAUGGCCCACCUGAAGAUAAUUAGUGGGGGUUUAGCUCAGUUGGUAGAGCGCCUGCUUUGCAAGCAGGAUGUCAGCGGUUCGAGUCCGCUAAUCUCCACCUUGUGUAAAAAUCACGAAGCAAAGGUAUCGUAGAUUGUCGGAAAGGGCAAGAAAUAGAUAGGGUGGUUUGGUGAUGAGUAGCACCGUGGGCUCAGAUAGAAAAAUGGUAAAUUAAUUCAGCAACAUGGCAAAAAGCCAGACUGCUGGAGGAAUAUCCAGCCAGAACCUUGAAAACUGCAUAGUAACGCGAAAAAAGCAGGCAGACACAGACAUGAAAAUGAAAGUGUAUGCGAUGUAAAAG
Molecule: transfer RNA, 528 nt
Filed under: Umezakia ovalisporum ILC-164
Lineage: Bacteria; Bacillati; Cyanobacteriota; Cyanophyceae; Nostocales; Nodulariaceae
Description: Chrysosporum ovalisporum ILC-164 16S-23S ribosomal RNA intergenic spacer
Rfam family: tRNA (bases 213-285)
Source: RNAcentral